RNAcentral lists this microRNA precursor (158 nucleotides) under Pelobates cultripes (western spadefoot toad). The record is from RNAcentral. Lineage: Eukaryota; Metazoa; Chordata; Amphibia; Anura; Pelobatidae.
CGCCCCCUAUACGUCAUCAUUGAGUAAACUUUGACCCGGAACCUCACAGUCAGCAGAUACUUCCUGGGAGGGAGGGUCUGCUGCUGAUUGGCUGGAAUGUGUCUGCUGGCUGUGAGGUUCCGGGUCAAAGUUUACUCAAUGAUGACGUAUACGGGGCA